UAGGGAAUCUUCGGCAAUGGACGGAAGUCUGACCGAGCAACGCCGCGUGAGUGAAGAAGGUUUUCGGACCGUAAAGCUCUGUUGUAAGAGAAGAACGAGUGUGAGAGUGGAAAGUUCACACUGUGACGGUAUCUUACCAGAAAGGGUCGGCUAACUACGUGCCAGCAGCCGCGGUAAUACGUAGGUCCCGAGCGUUGUCCGGAUUUAUUGGGCGUAAAGCGAGCGCAGGCGGUUAGAUAAGUCUGAAGUUAAAGGCUGUGGCUUAACCAUAGUAGGCUUUGGAAACUGUUUAACUUGAGUGCAAGAGGGGAGAGUGGAAUUCCAUGUGUAGCGGUGAAAUGCGUAGAUAUAUGGAGGAACACCGGUGGCGAAAGCGGCUCUCAGGCUUGUAACUGACGCUGAGGCUCGAAAGCGUGGGGAGCAAACAGGAUUAGAUACCCUGGUAGUCCACGCUGUAAACGAUGAGUGCUAGGUGUUAGACCCUUUCCGGGGUUUAGUGCCGUAGCUAACGCAUUAAGCACUCCGCCUGGGGAGUACGACCGCAAGGUUG
Molecule: ribosomal RNA, 550 nt
Filed under: uncultured bacterium
Lineage: Bacteria
Description: bacterial SSU rRNA
Rfam family: Bacterial small subunit ribosomal RNA
Source: RNAcentral